ACACGCUGGCGGCGUGCUUAACACAUGCAAGUCGAACGAUGAAGCUGGAGCUUGCUCCGGUGGAUUAGUGGCGAACGGGUGAGUAACACGUGAGCAAUCUGCCCUUGACUCUGGGAUAACUGCGGGAAACUGUAGCUAAUACCGGAUACGACACCUUGGGGCAUCCCAGGGUGUGGAAAGAAUUUCGGUCAAGGAUGAGCUCGCGGCCUAUCAGCUAGUUGGUGAGGUAAUGGCUCACCAAGGCGACGACGGGUAGCCGGCCUGAGAGGGUGACCGGCCACACUGGAACUGAGACACGGUCCAGACUCCUACGGGAGGCAGCAGUGGGGAAUAUUGCACAAUGGGCGAAAGCCUGAUGCAGCAACGCCGCGUGAGGGAUGAAGGCCUUCGGGUUGUAAACCUCUUUUAGCAGGGAAGAAGCGAAAGUGACGGUACCUGCAGAAAAAGCACCGGCUAACUACGUG
This 464-nucleotide ribosomal RNA is filed under the name uncultured bacterium. RNAcentral's name for it is "bacterial SSU rRNA". It matches the Rfam family "Bacterial small subunit ribosomal RNA", at positions 33 to 507 of the family's 1533-position model. The record is from RNAcentral.